CCUCAGACAUUGAUAUACUUUGUUCUAGAUGUCCAUAUAUAUUUAUGUGGUUAUAUUUCAUUCAUUACUCAUUGACAUUUAUUAAGACAUGGUGACUAGUAUGUGUGUUUUGGAGUGCUAUUCUUUUUUCUUUAUAUUCAAACUUUUCUUGACAACUCUUACUUGUGGCAUUAUAUUUCUUGUCUACUUUGUUGUUCUUCUCUUGCAAGUACUGUAAAGAAAUGUUUUAAUAUGUGCAUCUGAAAUGACUGACACCGCUGUUUUGCACUUUUUAAGGCUUCAUAUUUUUAAGGGAAGAUAACUCUAUCAAGUAGUUUCAAACUGAAAAUGUUGAAUUCCGGUAAUUGUAUAGCCGUCAGUGUACUUUCUUGAACAAUCAGUGUGCAGAGAUUGGGUGUUACUGAGUGAGUUUGUGAGUGAAUCCUAACAGCCCUUUUAUACAUCAAUCAAGGUUGGCACUUGAUCUGUGUUUACAUCAUAACAUGUACAUACUCAACAACAAAAGUUAAGGACCACCCCAAUUUUCAAUAUUAAAGUAUUUAAUAGUUCAUAUUAUGAUCCAUAUUUCCAUAACCUUUUUUGUUGAGUACCUAUAGAAAUUCCCUGGAUCUGCCAAUGUAUUACACAAUACUGUAUGUGGCAUAAUUUUUCUUUCAUUUUAGGGUUUGAACACAUUUUAAAGUCACCUGUACCUUAACCAGGUCAAUGUGAAGACUGUAGAAGAGCCCAAGCAUACUGAGUAUGCAAGUGAUUAGGGUUUGCCAAAGUGUUACCGGUACCUCAUUUACUUUCAUGACAAUUCAUAUACAUGUAUAUAUGUGUAUUUAUUUAUUUAUGUUAUUUUUUGCAGUGAGUUGAUAUGUUCUUUUGCAUGCAUUGAUUUAGAAACAUGGAUAUGAUGCGAGAAACACUUUGGUAGUAAGAUGAUUUAUCAAUGACCUGUUUAGGGGCAUUGUCACUUUUAGUUUCAUGUUCAGCGAAUUAAUUAUCAUAUCAUAUAAUUUAUAAUUUGUGAUCAGUGCUAGUCAGCACCAAACUUAUCAAUCAUAAAGCACAAUAAAAACAGAUGAAUUUCAUAAUUUUAUUCAGUUUAUUUUGACAAGAUUGACGCCAGUAUUUUGGUGACAUAUUUGACCUGUACAGCACACUUGCAAUCAAUAAGCUGGAAAAUAUACAUGUGACAUAC
Long non-coding RNA from Haliotis rubra (blacklip abalone), 1186 nucleotides. RefSeq lists it as uncharacterized. NCBI's taxonomy places the organism in Eukaryota, Metazoa, Mollusca, Gastropoda, Lepetellida, Haliotidae. The record is from RefSeq and is a predicted model, not a curated record. The transcript is spliced from 2 exons.